This 495-nucleotide ribosomal RNA is filed under the name uncultured bacterium. Its description in RNAcentral is "partial 16S ribosomal RNA". It matches the Rfam family "Bacterial small subunit ribosomal RNA", at positions 28 to 505 of the family's 1533-position model. The record is from RNAcentral.
GAUGAACGCUGGCGGCGUGCCUAAUACAUGCAAGUCGAGCGAACAGACGAGGAGCUUGCUCCUCUGACGUUAGCGGCGGACGGGUGAGUAACACGUGGAUAACCUACCUAUAAGACUGGGAUAACUUCGGGAAACCGGAGCUAAUACCGGAUAAUAUAUUGAACCGCAUGGUUCAAUAGUGAAAGACGGUUUUGCUGUCACUUAUAGAUGGAUCCGCGCCGCAUUAGCUAGUUGGUAAGGUAACGGCUUACCAAGGCAACGAUGCGUAGCCGACCUGAGAGGGUGAUCGGCCACACUGGAACUGAGACACGGUCCAGACUCCUACGGGGGGCAGCAGUAGGGAAUCUUCCGCAAUGGGCGAAAGCCUGACGGAGCAACGCCGCGUGAGUGAUGAAGGUCUUCGGAUCGUAAAACUCUGUUAUUAGGGAAAAACAAAUGUGUAAGUAACUAUGCACGUCGUGACGGUACCUAAUCAGAAAGCCACGGCUAACUACG